CAAGCACACCGUCGUCCUGUCCUGCACGGUCCCUGAAUCAGACACAGCUCCUGAUGUCAGUCUGUGAUGUCAGUCUGUGAUACUACGCCUCAGUAACGUUACGUUGCCGUGGUGACGUCCUCGGGUUUAAAGGUCGGGAGUGAACUGCCGCCCCAAGUGAAGGAGGUCAAGAAUCGCAGGGUCUUGUUUACGAGUGAGGGGAACAUGGAGCGGCGGAUGGACCGCAGGAUCACGGCGGCGUCAGCAGUGAUGCAGCCGUCGUACCGGUCCGGUGUGGUGACGAGGGAGCUGAGCCACAAGGCAAAGCUUUCCAUGUACCAGUCGAGCUACAUUCAGACCCUCACCUGUGGUCAUGAACUCUGGGUAGUGACCGAAAGAAUGAGAUCUCAAAUACAAGUAGGGCGGCCGAGCUCAGCCUUAGAGAUGAGAUGAGGAGCUCGGAGUGGAGCCGCCGCUCCUUCGCGUCGAAAGGGCUCAGUUGAGGUUGUUUGGGCAUCUGGUCAGGACGUCAACUGGGCGCCUUCCUUUGGUGGUUUUCCGGACGUCCAACUGGGAGCAGACCUGGUGUAGACCUACAACUCGCUGGAGGAACUACAUAUCCCAUCUGGCCUGGGGGCGCUUCCCCAUGAGGAGCAGGAAAGCGUGGCUGGGGAGAGGGAUGUCUGCAACGCCCUGCACAGCCCCGCGACUCGGAUAAGCGGAAAAAAAUGGAUGGAUGGAUGAUCAUCUUUAUAUACAGUCAUUACUUUUCUUUUCAUACUUCACACUUUAUGCUUUGAGCACAUGAAGGCCUCCGCACAGAAACACUGUUGUCCUGUGAGUCGUCGGUGUGUUGAAUUAAAGCUUUGAAUGUUCUUUUAUAUGAUGAUGGAAGAGAUCGAUACUUGCUGGUUAUGAAACAGAUUUUUUUUUAUUGACAAAUCAAACUGUUUCAUUUUACACUUUGGUCACAAACAUGAAGCAGUUUUGUUCACUACAUGUCACAGCAGGUAACAUCUUCACUCCUUCACAGCCUGCUCCAAAAAAUUCCAGCGAUCAUUCCGGACAUCAUGGGGUUAUUGUAGUAGAGAACAAUCAAAAUGAUGACCAGGAUUA
This is a long non-coding RNA of Scophthalmus maximus (turbot), 1095 nucleotides long. RefSeq lists it as uncharacterized. The record is from RefSeq and is a predicted model, not a curated record. NCBI's taxonomy places the organism in Eukaryota, Metazoa, Chordata, Actinopteri, Pleuronectiformes, Scophthalmidae. The transcript has 2 exons.